Molecule: ribosomal RNA, 404 nt
Filed under: uncultured microorganism
Description: bacterial SSU rRNA
Rfam family: Archaeal small subunit ribosomal RNA
Source: RNAcentral
GUGCACCAGUCGAGAAUCCUCCGCAAUGCGCGAAAGCGCGACGGGGCCACCCCGAGUGCCGCCCGCUGAGGGCGGCUUUUCCCCGGUGUAGACAGCCGGGGGAAUAAGGGGAGGCAAGUCUGGUGUCAGCCGCCGCGGUAAUACCAGCUCCCCGAGUGGUGGGGACGAUUAUUGGGCCUAAAGCGUCCGUAGCCGGCCCGGCAAGUCUCCCGUUAAAUCCAGCGAUCUAAUCGCUGGACUGCGGGAGAUACUGUCGGGCUAGGGGGCGGAGAGGCCGGCGGUAUUCCCGGGGUAGGGGUGAAAUCCUAUAAUCCCGGGAGGACCACCAGUGGCGAAGGCUGCCGGCUGGAACGCGCCCGACGGUGAGGGACGAAAGCCGGGGGAGCGAACCGGAUUAGAUACCC